This 181-nucleotide ribosomal RNA is filed under the name uncultured bacterium. Its description in RNAcentral is "partial 16S ribosomal RNA". It matches the Rfam family "Bacterial small subunit ribosomal RNA", at positions 336 to 525 of the family's 1533-position model. The record is from RNAcentral.
CUCCUACGGGAGCCAGCAGUGGGGAAUAUUGCGCAAUGGGGGAAACCCUGACGCAGCGACGCCGCGUGCGGGAUGAAGGCCUUCGGGUUGUAAACCGCUUUCACCAGGGACGAAGCGAGAGUCGACCGGUUACCUCGGGGAACGAAGCGCCGGCUACUACGUGCCAGCAGCCGCGGUAUUC